Molecule: ribosomal RNA, 741 nt
Filed under: Klebsiella pneumoniae
Lineage: Bacteria; Pseudomonadati; Pseudomonadota; Gammaproteobacteria; Enterobacterales; Enterobacteriaceae
Description: partial 23S ribosomal RNA
Rfam family: Bacterial large subunit ribosomal RNA
Source: RNAcentral
AGCCGGCGAUGUCCGAAUGGGGAAACCCAGUGCAAUUCGUUGCACUAUCGUUAACUGAAUACAUAGGUUAACGAGGCGAACCGGGGGAACUGAAACAUCUAAGUACCCCGAGGAAAAGAAAUCAACCGAGAUUCCCCCAGUAGCGGCGAGCGAACGGGGAGCAGCCCAGAGUCUGAAUCAGCUUGUGUGUUAGUGGAACGGUCUGGAAAGUCCGACGGUACAGGGUGAUAGUCCCGUACACCAAAAUGCACAGGUUGUGAACUCGAAGAGUAGGGCGGGACACGUGGUAUCCUGUCUGAAUAUGGGGGGACCAUCCUCCAAGGCUAAAUACUCCUGACUGACCGAUAGUGAACCAGUACCGUGAGGGAAAGGCGAAAAGAACCCCGGCGAGGGGAGUGAAAAAGAACCUGAAACCGUGUACGUACAAGCAGUGGGAGCACCUUCGGGUGUGACUGCGUACCUUUUGUAUAAUGGGUCAGCGACUUAUAUUCUGUAGCAAGGUUAACCGUAUAGGGGAGCCGCAGGGAAACCGAGUCUUAACUGGGCGUUAAGUUGCAGGGUAUAGACCCGAAACCCGGUGAUCUAGCCAUGGGCAGGUUGAAGGUUGGGUAACACUAACUGGAGGACCGAACCGACUAAUGUUGAAAAAUUAGCGGAUGACUUGUGGCUGGGGGUGAAAGGCCAAUCAAACCGGGAGAUAGCUGGUUCUCCCCGAAAGCUAUUUAGGUAGCGCCUCGUGAA